RNAcentral lists this long non-coding RNA (739 nucleotides) under Amborella trichopoda. RNAcentral's name for it is "long non-coding RNA (ATRI_LNC002181)". Lineage: Eukaryota; Viridiplantae; Streptophyta; Magnoliopsida; Amborellales; Amborellaceae. The record is from RNAcentral.
UUUAAUAAAGGAUUGAACGUCCAAAAUUUGAUGUCAAAAUAUUUUAUAAAAAAAAUUAAAAAUAAAAUAAUAUAAAGAUGUCACAUUGCGAUUAGGAUAAAUUUAACCCACCGUUCAGAAUGAGAGGUUGGAUAGGAUUUUAUGCUGGAGAAGAAGCAUAGAAAGCACGCCCAAAUACUUUUUGCUUUAAGUUUUACGAGAGGGUGAGCGGUAUAUUUUUUCACUUGCGAAGAGCACAUAGAGGCCAUAGGAGCAUACUAUACGUUUAAUUCGGACCGGGCCAUGGGACAUUGAAAGUGGGGACCCACCAUUUGAAGCGAAAGGGCCGACAACAAGAUGGCAAUGGGCGGGCCCACAUGAAUUUGCAGAUAUGGAUAAGGCCGUGAGGUGAAGCCCCCUCCACAGCUACAAGUCGCUUUCUUCCCCUAAUUCCCAUCCCCCAAUCCGGUCGCUUCCCGCCAGAACCGGCAUCGCCACGUCAAGCCAGAACGGGACGCAACGUCCCCUCGUGUCGCUGAAGCGGUCGAUCCCGUUAUCAAAUGGACGGUAUGGAAGAGCCACGUGGCAAAUUGAUGGCCGCCCUAUCGUGGUGUGCAAGUUGAUGAUUGGUCCGUCUCCAUGAUGAUGUGGUGCACCGACUUGAGCACAAUCCACACGUGGGAGCACGUGUCAAACGUUUUGUGGAUUUAAUGCCAGUUUGGUUUCCGCCUACUAAUCGAGUUUCUUUGCCUAGUUACCG